RNAcentral lists this ribosomal RNA (495 nucleotides) under uncultured bacterium. RNAcentral describes it as "partial 16S ribosomal RNA". It matches the Rfam family "Bacterial small subunit ribosomal RNA", at positions 28 to 507 of the family's 1533-position model. The record is from RNAcentral.
GACGAACGCUGGCGGCGUGCCUAAUACAUGCAAGUAGAACGCUGAAGGAGGAGCUUGCUCUUCUGGAUGAGUUGCGAACGGGUGAGUAACGCGUAGGUAACCUGCCUGGUAGCGGGGGAUAACUAUUGGAAACGAUAGCUAAUACCGCAUAACAGUAGAUGUUGCAUGACAUUUACUUAAAAGGUGCAAUUGCAUCACUACCAGAUGGACCUGCGUUGUAUUAGCUAGUUGGUGGGGUAACGGCUCACCAAGGCGACGAUACGUAGCCGACCUGAGAGGGGGAUCGGCCACACUGGGACUGAGACACGGCACAGACGCCUACGGGAGGGAGCAGUAGGGAAUCUUCGGCAAUGGACGGAAGUCUGACCGAGCAACGCCGCGUGAGUGAAGAAGGUUGUCGGAUCGUAAAUCUCGGUUGUAAGGGAAGAACGAGUGUGAGAGUGGAAAGUUCACACUGUGACGGUAUCUUACCAGAAAGGGACGGCUAACUACGUG